Molecule: ribosomal RNA, 492 nt
Filed under: uncultured bacterium
Lineage: Bacteria
Description: partial 16S ribosomal RNA
Rfam family: Bacterial small subunit ribosomal RNA
Source: RNAcentral
AGUGAACGCUGGCGGUAGACCUAACACAUGCAAGUCGAACGGCAGCACAGUAAGAGCUUGCUCUUACGGGUGGCGAGUGGCGGACGGGUGAGGAAUACAUCGGAAUCUACUUUUUCGUGGGGGAUAACGUAGGGAAACUUACGCUAAUACCGCAUACGACCUACGGGUGAAAGCAGGGGAUCUUCGGACCUUGCGCGAUUGAAUGAGCCGAUGUCGGAUUAGCUAGUUGGCGGGGUAAAGGCCCACCAAGGCGACGAUCCGUAGCUGGUCUGAGAGGAUGAUCAGCCACACUGGAACUGAGACACGGUCCAGACUCCUACGGGGGGCAGCAGUGGGGAAUACUGGACAAUGGGCGCAAGCCUGAUCCAGCCAUACCGCGUGGGUGAAGAAGGCCUUCGGGUUGUAAAGCCCUUUUGUUGGGAAAGAAAAGCAGCAGGUUAAUACCCCGCUGUUCUGACGGUACCCAAAGAAUAAGCACCGGCUAACUUCGUG